This is an RNA transcript of Chiroxiphia lanceolata (lance-tailed manakin), 2623 nucleotides long. It is a transcript of the gene named transcription elongation regulator 1 like, with no coding region annotated. The transcript is spliced from 13 exons. The record is from RefSeq and is a predicted model, not a curated record. Lineage: Eukaryota; Metazoa; Chordata; Aves; Passeriformes; Pipridae.
GGAGCCGAGCGGAGCCGCUCCCGCUCCCCCCGUGCCAUGCGGGAUGCUCCCGGCCGCCGCCGCCCCCCGCCCGCCGCCUCUGCUGUGGCCGCCGCCCGCGGAGCCCCCCGCGCCCCCCUGGGCCUGGGUGCUGCCCGCGGCCGCGGGGCUGCUCCGAGUGGGCGCUGCCAACGCCGGGGGUCCCCCCCCGCCCCCGCCGCUGCUGCUGCCGCCCCCCGCCCCCGCCGUGCUGCGGGGCUGGCGCGGCCCCGCAGAGCCGCUGCUGCCGCUGCUGCCCGCGACCACCGAGCCGCUGCUCCAGGGGCAGUGGAUAUUUGGAGCUCAUUCUCCAAUCAUAGGAUUUUCCCCUUCUUCGAGCGUGGAAUUUGUCCCUGUUUUCCCCCCUGUGUUCACGGCUUCGGUUCCACCUCACACUGGGAAAAGCUGGAUCGAUAAAAGGCUGCCCAACUGCAAAAUAUACUUGAACAAUGCAUUUGCUCUGGAUUCAGCCUGGAUACAUCCUGAGGAGUCCAGGCUGUUCCAGGGAGCUGAGAAACCUCUGCUGAUGACCAACCAAGUAGCUCUGGCUGUAGCCAGGCCAGCUGCUGCCUCCAGGCCACUGCCCACGCUGGUGUUGGCACCUCAGCUGGUACCAGGUGGUUGCCAGAAUAGCCUGAAGGCCAUGGGUACCAACCAGACCCUGGCUCUGGCCACGGCGGCCGUGGUGUCGGUGGAGCCUGAGGCCCCCCAGCCCUGCCACCUCCUCACCUUCUCCCCGCUCAAAAUCCCGCUGGUGGCUUCACCCUUCCCAGGUUCUGGCUCCAGGCUGGAUGCCCACGUGGGUCCCUUGAUGCCAACUCAAGUCACCCGUGUCACCGCGGUGUCCGCGCCGGCUGUGACGUUCAUGGCCACCAACCUCAUGGACCAGGCACUGACAGAUCAUGGCAAAGAAUCAAGCAGAUCCUCCUGCCCCCCGACUCUGAUCCUGCACACAGACGGGAAGAAUGUCCCUGUGGACAGCGAUGGCAACAAGGGUCAUUCCUUUAAACUGGUGGCUGAGGGUAACAGCACAGCCAACGGCAACAAACCCGUGGCCUCCACCCCUGUGCCGGGAUCACCAUGGUGUGUGGUGUGGACUGGAGAUGACAGGGUGUUCUUCUUCAACCCCUCCAUGCAGCUCUCAGUGUGGGAGAAGCCGCUGGACCUGCGGCACCGCGGGGACAUCAACCGGCUGCUCGAGGACCCCCCGCACAAGCGCAAGCUGGAGGCUGCUCCAGCAGACAAGUGUGUUAGUUCUUGCCCAGGGGAUGAAAACGAUGAUCUCAACAUCAAAACUAAGAGAAAUAAAACAGAAGAUUCCCAAGCUGCUGGCCUGGAGAGGGCUGGAGUGGAGGAGAGGAAUGAGGAGACAUCUGCCCCCCAGAUCACCCCUCCCCUGGAGGAGCGAAUCACCCACUUCCGAGACAUGCUGCUGAGAGGGGGGUUUCAGCAUUUUCUACAUGGGAGAAGGAAUUACACAAAAUAGUGUUUGACCCCCGGUACCUCCUGCUGAACUCAGAGGAGCGGAAACAGAUCUUUGAGCAGUUUGUCAAGACCCGGAUCAGAGAGGAGUACAAAGAGAAGAAAAACAAACUGUUGUUGGCCAAAGAAGAAUUCAAAAAGCUUCUUGAAGAAUCCAAGUUGUCACCAAGGACAACAUUUAAGGAAUUUGCAGAGAAACAUGGCCGAGACCAGCGGUUCCGCCUCGUCCAGAAGAAGAAGGACCAGGAGCACUUUUUCAAUCAGUUCAUACUUAUUCUUAAAAAGAGGGACAAAGAAAACAGGAUAAGGCUACGGAAAAUGAGAUAAGAACUCCUGAAACUGGCAAUAAAGACACGAGUGAGCCGAGGCUGUGACUGCGGGGAGGAAUUUGAAGGAGAAGGAGUUCAAGGUUCAAUGUUCAACAGCACGACAGCGAGUGGGUUUCCCAGGGAAAAACUUGCUCUAAACAGAGUUUCUUGACCAUCUCUGGGAUUUGUGAAGGCUGUUCUGCAGGAAUCUAAAGGAUAUUUUGUUCUCAAAGAAUUAAUGUUUCAUAUUGAAGCUCUCUUUUGUACAACAUCCAGAGUUUGAUGCAUUUCUAAUUGCCAUGAUAUGUCAAUCCCUUAAUUGUUUUAAUUAUGCAAAUUACUUGUAAUAUACACAAAUUAUGAAUCCAGUGCAGGUUUAUAAUUAAGCAGAAGCAGAUGCCAUCCAUAACCAUCCCAAGGUAUUUUCAUCGUUUAGGGGAAUUAUCUCAAGCGACCUUUUGGCAACUUUCUGCAUUCCAGUGUGUGGAGGUCUGGUGGUCACAGGAAUCCAUUCCCCGCUGCUCAUAUGUCUCUGUCCAGUCCUCUGAGUAGUAGUAAUCAGAUAUUAAUUGUUAAUAUUGGUGAAGAGUGUGAAAAUCUUGGCAUAUGUCCCGUAGGAAAACUCUCUCAGAACUUCCCACCCCCUGUGACUGGUGCUCCAGGCGGGUGAGAGCGACACUUCUCCCUCAACGUCCCCAAACCCAAGUUUUGUAAAGCCAUCCCAGUCUGGGUUCUGUUACUGUCUGUGAAAAGUCUGCAUGAGAUUUUUCUCAUCAUAUUUGUAUAAAUAAAUAUUUAACUUUUUUAAUUAAUAA